Molecule: ribosomal RNA, 307 nt
Filed under: uncultured bacterium
Lineage: Bacteria
Description: bacterial SSU rRNA
Rfam family: Bacterial small subunit ribosomal RNA
Source: RNAcentral
GACGAACGCUGGCGGCGUGCCUAACACAUGCAAGUGGAGCGACGAACCAGGGCUUGCCCUGGAGCAAAGCCGCGAACGGGUGAGUAACACGUGGGUAACGUGCCCCGAUGACCGGGACAACCCGAGGAAACUCGAGCUAAUACCGGAUGUCUUCCACACACAUCAGUGUGUGGAGAAAAGGAAGCUUCGGCCUCCGCAUCGGGAGCGGCCCGCGGCCCAUUAGCUUGUUGGGAGGUAACGGCUCACCAAGGCUGCGAUGGGUAGCUGGUCUGAGAGGACGAUCAGCCACACUGGGACUGAGACACGG